CCCAUGGGCGGAGAAGCCGGAGGGCGACCGACGGUGGAGCGCAUGGGAGUGAGAAUGCUGGCAUGAGUAGCGAGAGACGAGAGAGUAACUCGUCCGCCGUGAACCCGAGGUUUCCUGGGCAAGGCUAAUCCUCCCAGGGUCAGUCGGGGGCUAAGGCGAGGCCGGGAGGCGUAGCCGACGCGCAGCAGGCAGACAUUCCUGCACCGCGCACGCGGCGCUACGACCGACGGGGCGACGGAUGGGGGUGGCUCGGCGGGGUUCUGGACGUCCCCGUGAUGGAGCGCGGCCCGCGGACCAGGGAAAUCCGGUCCGCACGAAGGGCGAGGCUCCGGACGAAGCGAUCAAGCGAAGCGAGUGAGCCCGAGGUCCCUAGAAAAACCCCUAGGCAGGCGCGUGCGCGCCCGUACCGCAAACCGACACAGGUGGGUGGGUAGAACAUACCGAGGCGAUCGGGUCAACCAUGGUCAAGGAACUCGGCACAAUGGCCCCGUAACUUCGGGAGAAGGGGUGCCCGCGCGUACGUGAACGGACUUGCUCCGGGAGCGGAGGCGGGCCGCAGUGGAGAGGCCCAAGCGACUGUUUACCAAAAACACAGGACUCUGCAGAAGCCGCAAGGCGACGUAUAGGGUCUGACGCCUGCCCGGUGCCGGAAGGUCACGCGGAGGAGUUAGCCGAUUCGGCGAAGCCCCGAAGCCAAGCCCCGGUAAACGGCGGCCGUAACUAUAACGGUCCUAAGGUAGCGAAAUUCCUUGUCGGGUAAGUUCCGACCUGCACGAAAGGCGCAACGACUUGGGCGCUGUCUCGACCAUGGACCCGGUGAAAUUGCACUGGUCGUGAAGAUGCGACUUACCCGCGGAAGGACGGAAAGACCCCGUGAACCUUCACUGCAGCUUGGCAUUGGCCGCUGGUCCCGCGUGUAGAGGAUAGGCAGGAGGCUAAGAUCCGGAGGCGCCAGCCCCCGGGGAGCCGCCCUUGGAAUACUGCCCUCGCGCGACCGGCGUCCUAACCCGAGGCCGUCAACCGGCUCGGGGACCGUGCCAGGCGGGCAGUUUGACUGGGGCGGUCGCCUCCUAAAGGGUAACGGAGGCGCGCGAAGGUCCGCUCGGGACGGUCGGCAACCGUCCUUUUGAAUGCAAGAGUACAAGCGGGCUUGACUGCGAGGCCCACAAGCCGAGCAGGUGCGAAAGCAGGCUCUAGUGAUCCGGCGGCCCCGAGUGGGUGGGCCGUCGCUCAACGGAUAAAAGGUACUCCGGGGAUAACAGGC
RNAcentral lists this ribosomal RNA (1264 nucleotides) under human gut metagenome. Its description in RNAcentral is "bacterial LSU rRNA". It matches the Rfam family "Bacterial large subunit ribosomal RNA", at positions 1240 to 2482 of the family's 2925-position model. The record is from RNAcentral.